This 450-nucleotide ribosomal RNA is filed under the name uncultured bacterium. RNAcentral describes it as "bacterial SSU rRNA". It matches the Rfam family "Bacterial small subunit ribosomal RNA", at positions 181 to 643 of the family's 1533-position model. The record is from RNAcentral.
GCCGAUCACAUGGCUGGCCGAGGAAAGGUCCGCCGGUCAGGGAUGGGCCCGCGGCCUAUCAGCUUGUUGGUGAGGUAACGGCCCACCAAGGCGACGACGGGUAGCUGGUCUGAGAGGACGACCAGCCACACUGGAACUGAGAUACGGUCCAGACUCCUACGGGAGGCAGCAGUGGGGAAUAUUGCACAAUGGACGCAAGCCUGAUGCAGCGACGCCGCGUGAGGGAUGAAGGCCUUCGGGUCGUAAACCUCUUUCGGCAGGGACGAAGCGAUCAGUGACGGUACCUGCAGAAGAAGCCCCGGCUAACUACGUGCCAGCAGCCGCGGUAAGACGUAGGGGGCGAGCGUUGUCCGGAUUUAUUGGGCGUAAAGCGCGCGUAGGCGGCUGCGCAAGUCGGUUGUGAAACCCCGGGGCUCAACCCCGGAACUGCAUUCCGAUACUGCGUGGCUA